CCGUGCAGCAGCGCGGUAAUACGGAGUGGCAAGCGUAUCGGAUAUUGGCGUAAGCGUCGCAGCGCCCAGAAGUCUGCUGUAAAACGUGGAGCUUAACUCAUCAUGGCAGUGGAAACUACUGGGCUUGAGUGUGGUAGGGGCAGAGGGAAUUCCCGGUGUAGCGGUGAAAUGCGUAGAUAUCGGGAAGAACACCAGUGGCGAAGGCGCUCUGCUGGGCCAUCACUGACGCUCAUGGACGAAAGCCAGGGGAGCGAAAGGGAUUAGAUACCCCUGUAGUCCUGGCCGUAAACGAUGAACACUAGGUGUCGGGGGAAUCGACCCCCUCGGUGUCGUAGCCAACGCGUUAAGUGUUCCGCCUGGGGAGUACGCACGCAAGUGUGAAACUCAAAGGAAUUGACGGGGGCCCGCACAAGCGGUGGAGUAUGUGGUUUAAUUCGAUGCAACGCGAAGAACCUUACCAGGGUUUGACAUCCUGCGAACCUCUUGGAAACGAGAGGGUGCCUUCGGGAACGCAGUGACAGGUGGUGCAUGGCUGUCGUCAGCUCGUGUCGUGAGAUGUUGGGUUAAGUCCCGCAACGAGCGCAACCCACGUCUUUAGUUGCCAGCAUUUAGUUGGGCACUCUAGAGAGACCGCCGGCGAUAAACCGGAGGAAGGUGUGGAUGACGUCAAGUCAUCAUGCCCCUUACAUCCUGGGCUACACACGUACUACAAUGCUACGGACAAAGGGCAGCAAGUUCGCGAGGACAAGCAAAUCCCAUAAACCGUGGCUCAGUUCAGAUCGUAGGCUGCAACUCGCCUACGUGAAGGAGGAAUCGCUAGUAAUCGCAGGUCAGCAUACUGCGGUGAAUACGUUCCCGGGCCUUGUACACACCGCCCGUCACACCAUGGAAGUUGGCCACGCCCGAAGCCGUUACUCCAACCCUUGUGGAGGAGGACG
This 938-nucleotide ribosomal RNA is filed under the name uncultured bacterium. RNAcentral describes it as "bacterial SSU rRNA". It matches the Rfam family "Bacterial small subunit ribosomal RNA", at positions 503 to 1455 of the family's 1533-position model. The record is from RNAcentral.